This 64-nucleotide non-coding RNA is filed under the name unclassified sequences. The record is from Rfam.
UACUCAGCAUAUUUGAUAGUAUGCGGUUUAAUAUAAUUGGUUUUACCAAUUAAAGAAAGAGUAG